RNAcentral lists this non-coding RNA (30 nucleotides) under Mus musculus (house mouse). The record is from RNAcentral. Lineage: Eukaryota; Metazoa; Chordata; Mammalia; Rodentia; Muridae.
UAAAUUAAAAACCUUUUCACUUUGCUAUUA